UCCAGCCCUAGCUACAGGUUACUUGGCUUAGUCCUGAUCUUAAAGAGACCUGAGCCCUUGAAUCACCCACCGGCAAAGGCGGACGAUGCUUCCAACCCGCUGCUAACUGGGAGGGGAUUUGCGAGCUGGUUCCCCCCUCCCCCGCCUCCCAGCUGUUGGCAGAUGUGCUUUUGAACUCUCUCUCCCCUGGUUUCUCGACUCCCCCCUCCACUCCUCCUCUACAGAGGGGGAUUUUCCCCCCUAGCUCUCUCCCUCGCUUGCAAGACUCCAGAAGUCUUUUCUACCUUGGGAGGACUGGGACUUUUCUUGGACUGGGACUGUGAUCUGGAGCUAUGACUUGGACGUGGGACUCUGGAUCUUGGACUGCUUCUGGUAAGACUGCUCCUGGAUUUUCUCCCUUCAGCUUGGGUGAGUGAAAAGUUGACCCUCCUUUCCUGGCUUCUGGAGAGAUUAGUUCCCAAAAGGUCUCCCCUUCUUGGAGGAGGCCAUGUGGGUUUAUUGUUUAAUUCACCACCUUGUUUAAUUCACCACUGAGUCCUCUGGCUGAGGGGUUAACAAGCCCUGCUUGGGUUGAGUCAGGGACUGGAGCAACAUUAGGGUGAUAGGUUAGACAUUUUCUCUACCCUCUUUUACAUUCCUCUACUUUCACUUUUUCCACCUCUUUGUAAAUAAAAUUAUUGAAAGUCAAUUUGACUUGAGCUAUAAUAUUUUUAAGUCAGCAGCCACAGUAUUCUCUUAAAAUCCUCAUAUAUUUAGUCCAACCACAAAAUUUAAUUCCUUACAAAUGCUAAUACAAAGAUAAGCCCAAUAACCCUACCCUACAAUAUCAUUGCCAAGAGGUCCCUACCAACCCUAAUCUACAAGGUAAUCACAAAAGGGUAACCCCCAGAUUAACCUACAGUAAAUCUAAGGUAUAAUACAAAGGUGGCUUCACCACCCUGAGUUACGAUAUUCCCACUGCCUCUGAUCUACAAUGUCACCACAAAGAAGCCACCACUACAGCCAAUGUACACAGUCACCACCCAGAGGAUUACUACGAACCCUAACCUACAAUGCCAAUGCAAAGGUAACACCAUGGACCCUAACCUAUAAUGUCAAGACAACAACAACAACAAAAAUAAUAGCAUUUAUAUAUCACCUCCUAUGUGCCAGGCUUACUGUUAGCACUUUUAUUUUCUCACUUGAUCCUCACAACAAUCCCAGGAGGUAGUAUCUAUUUUUAAAAUUCUGACUUUCCCUCUUAGAAUCGAUACUGUUUUGGUUCCACAGUUAAAGAGCAAUAAGAGCUGGGCAAUGAGGGUUAAGUGACUCGCCCAGGGUCACACAACUAGAAAGUAUCUGAGACCACAUUUGAAUCCUGGACUUCCGAUCUCUAGGCCAGACUCUCUCUCCACUGACCCACCUAACUGCACCCCCUGUACCUACUAUGGAAGACACUGAGGAAAAUAGAGGCCAAAUGACUUGCCCAAGGUCACACACCUAGAGCUGAGCCAAGAUGUUCAAGUUUGAUUCUUGUUCAGUAGAAGCCAUGGAAAUACAGAGAAGCACCUUCAAGCAGAACAGGUCGGCGCUGCUUCAAACUGAGGUUCCAGAGCUGCUGGCAACCUGGUUAUGCCAUCUAGCUUGGCCAUGGAUCACACACACAUGCACACGUGCACACACAUGCAAAUAUACCUGUAAUUCUUUUGACUGA
Non-coding RNA from Monodelphis domestica (gray short-tailed opossum), 1693 nucleotides. NCBI's taxonomy places the organism in Eukaryota, Metazoa, Chordata, Mammalia, Didelphimorphia, Didelphidae. The record is from RefSeq and is a predicted model, not a curated record.